RNAcentral lists this long non-coding RNA (222 nucleotides) under Pogona vitticeps (central bearded dragon). Its description in RNAcentral is "lncRNA (ENSPVIG00000000211.1)". The record is from RNAcentral. Lineage: Eukaryota; Metazoa; Chordata; Lepidosauria; Squamata; Agamidae.
CUCCUACCACUUGUGGCACAUUGGGCUAUGCACGUGGAAAAGCUGAAAUUCUUAAAAGGAAACCAGGAGGCUUCUAGGACCCAGAAGCUGAGAUGCUUUCCAAGCUUCAGGCUGCCUCUUACCCUUCACUGCAGUAGAUCUGUGCAUCAGCUACAGUGGACAAGAAGCAACAGAGAGGUACCCAGUAUGCUAGAAACCUGCACAAGGGAAGAAAGCAGCUAG